RNAcentral lists this microRNA precursor (59 nucleotides) under Branchiostoma lanceolatum (amphioxus). RNAcentral describes it as "Bla-Mir-33-P7_pre stem-loop". It matches the Rfam family "mir-33 microRNA precursor family", at positions 6 to 65 of the family's 69-position model. Lineage: Eukaryota; Metazoa; Chordata; Leptocardii; Amphioxiformes; Branchiostomatidae. The record is from RNAcentral.
GUGCAUUGUAGUUGCAUUGCAUGUGCAAAAGCAGAAGUGCAAUGUAACAGCAGUGCAGC